UUGAACGCUGGCGGCAUGCCUUACACAUGCAAGUCGAACGGCAGCACGGGAGCAAUCCUGGUGGCGAGUGGCGAACGGGUGAGUAAUACAUCGGAACGUGCCCAGUAGUGGGGGAUAACCCGGCGAAAGCCGGACUAAUACCGCAUACGACCUACGGGUGAAAGCGGGGGAUCGCAAGACCUCGCGCUAUCGGAGCGGCCGAUGUCAGAUUAGCUAGUUGGUGGGGUAAAAGCCUACCAAGGCGACGAUCUGUAGCUGGUCUGAGAGGACGACCAGCCACACUGGGACUGAGACACGGCCCAGACUCCUACGGGAGGCAGCAGUGGGGAAUAUUGGACAAUGGGCGCAAGCCUGAUCCAGCAAUGCCGCGUGCGUGAUGAAGGCCUUCGGGUUGUAAAGCGCUUUCGCCCGCGACGAUGAUGACGGUAGCGGGAGAAGAAGCCCCGGCUAACUCCGUGCCAG
This 462-nucleotide ribosomal RNA is filed under the name uncultured bacterium. Its description in RNAcentral is "bacterial SSU rRNA". It matches the Rfam family "Bacterial small subunit ribosomal RNA", at positions 29 to 511 of the family's 1533-position model. The record is from RNAcentral.